Molecule: non-coding RNA, 878 nt
Organism: Gasterosteus aculeatus aculeatus (three-spined stickleback)
Lineage: Eukaryota; Metazoa; Chordata; Actinopteri; Perciformes; Gasterosteidae
Source: RefSeq, a predicted model, not a curated record
CUUGCAUGAGAAUAAGGAGGAAACUGGAGCUUCACCCAGCCAAGAGCUGGAUGAAGCCUCGUCUCCAUGACAGCGAAGGACACGCAGCCCUUCAGUAUUGUGGAUGAUUCAGGGCAUUUGUGUCCAAACUGGAUCCUCAUCAUGUUCUCCCUACAAGGCAGGCUCUGCAGGCCGUGGUGGAGGCUGAGUAGGAGUCAGCUAAGGAGAAGGCUAAAGUGGAAAAGGUGGCUGCUGUUAGCCUUACUUCUGACAUGUGGACAUCCAUCAGUAUGGAUGCCUACCUGGCUGUAAGGUGCCACUUUGUGGGGGAGAAAACCACACUGGGUUCAGUGCUUCCCCCGAUCACACACUGCUGAACAUAUAGCUCGUGUGAAAGCCUCCCUGAUGGAGGAAUGGGGAAUCGAUCAUAAGGUGACGUGUGUGGUCACUGAUGGUGCUCCCAAUGUGGUUUCCUGUGUGAGAGCUGAAGCUUCGCCACCAUAUUUUAUGUUGCACACUGAAUCUGACAGUGAAGAAGGGACCUGAGCAGCAGCCGGUGCUCUCUGGCAUCCGGGCCAACGCACGGAAGCUGGUUGGCUUCUUUAGGAGCAGCACCACUGCUAAGGAGAAGCUGACACAACUUCAUCUGGGGACGGCAAACAUGAAGCUAAUGCAAGAAGUGGAGGCCAGAUGGAGCAGCACAUGUUGGAUGCUGCAGCGUUUGGUGGAGCAAAGGGAGCCAGUAGGAGCAACAUGACAUCACCUUCCUACAGCAGAAGGGUUCCACAUUGUUGGAGGGUGCCUUUCUUUGCUGUCUCCCUUCUAUGAUCCACUGUAGAGCUGUCGGCAGAGGACAAUGUGUCUGUCUCCAAAGUCGUCCCCCCCGUGAAGAUGCUGGA